This is a long non-coding RNA of Pararge aegeria (speckled wood butterfly), 1609 nucleotides long. RefSeq lists it as uncharacterized. The record is from RefSeq and is a predicted model, not a curated record. Lineage: Eukaryota; Metazoa; Arthropoda; Insecta; Lepidoptera; Nymphalidae. The transcript is spliced from 2 exons.
AGAUUAAAUUCUGUUAGCAUAGCCAGUCCAGUGAUAAUAAUCAAUGGUAAUAAUAGAGGUCAGUGUCUGAAACGGAACGUAUGAACUAUAUUAUUUCUGAUUAUGAUUUACUGUUUUGCCAAAGUGACAACAAAUCACAAAUGUCAAUAUUGUCAAACAUGUGCAAGUCUACAUUUUGUAAUUAAUGUAUUUUUAUCAACACAAGAGGCAAUUCAAAACUGUUUAUUUAUCAAAACCAUACAUUCAGAUUUAUGUACAAGAAAGCAUAUGGAAGUCAGCUAUGGUAUUGUUGGUACUUCUUCAGCCGAUCCUGUCCUGCUAAACUUAGGAUAAACAAUGCUGGUAAAGUUACAGAAUGUAUCGGAAGACAUAACCAUGACCCGCCCACUUGCUGGAUGACCCCAGAUGGCAAGUCUUACAGCUUGCCACCACUUCCUGAAAGGUCUACUUAAAAUUUUAUCUGUCUGGACAGUGUGCAUUUUCAUAAACCUUGUGCAAUAUAUAUUUGGGUCAGCAGGAUACAAGAGUUUAAAACAACAGCCAUGUAUAAUAAAGGAACAAACAUUUAAAAUGCCUUUCAGUGAUUAUUAUAAAAAAUAACAGUUAUACAAAUUACAUAUUAAUGAGAUUUCUCUUAAUAUAAACAUUUUAAAAAUAUAAAAAAAUCCUAUCAUGCUCUAAGCGUAUUAAUUUUGCAUGUAUUCUCAUGGCAAUUAUGUUGUAGGCAAUUUAAAUCUCCUGUUACAAUUAUGUGUCAGUGAGUGAAGAUAAGAAAAAGUAAAUUAUUAAAAUUCCAUUGGUACCUCUUAUUGCAGUAGACUAGAUGAGCGUGUGUUUGGUGCCUACUUAAAUUGUUUUCUUUUUGCUUGGUUAACAUAAGUUUUUCAUCAAUUCAUUGUUUAAGGUAAACAUGCACUGGUUAUUGGAUAAAGAAAUCUGGAAAACUUGUAGAUUGAAAUUCUCUUUAUGAUUUUUUUCAUUGAUUUACAAUCCACUGAGACAAUUAAAAUAGCAUACUUGGGAUAGUCAGUGUGUAAUUUAUCUGUCAAGGUUACUCAAAUUUUUGUCAGAAUUUUAGUACUAAUAUUUUGUUUACAAUAUUAAAAAUUUUCUAUACUGUAAAUGUGUACAAAUCUCACUGUAUCACUGAUAAAUGAUUAUUUGGUGACAGUUGUCCAUGAACUAAACUGACAGGUGUAGAACGAGUGCCAUUAUUUUCACUUCAUGUUUGAAUAGGAUAGUUAAGUUUAGUUUUGAUUUGUGUUCAACCAAGUUAGCACCACACUACUAAUGUGACUUAUAGGGUGCCUGAUAAUUUUAGUGACAUGGAUUUUGACAUCCUGGUGCAAUAUGUGAAAUUUUAAACCUACCUUUUACCAUUUGAUUGCAAGAAAGUUAACUACAUUAUGGUAAUCGAAAGUGCAUCAUCUAGUGACAAUACUGUUUCCCAAUAUUAUAACCAGAUGGGGCUGCUUCGAUUACAUACAAGUAUAUAUCACAGGUAAAAAAUCCCACUGUUUAUUUCAUGUGUCAAUUUUUUUGUCAUUUUAAUAAUAAAUCAGGGCUAAACAAGUCAAUGCGACUGUACUUUAUCACUGAAUUCAAGUAA